GAUGAAGAACGUAGCGAAAUGCGAUACGUAAUGUGAAUUGCAGAAUUCAGUGAAUCAUCGAAUCUUUGAACGCAUAUUGCGCUCUUUGGUAUUCCGAAGAGCAUGCUUGUUUGAGUAUCAGUAAACACCUCAAAACUUUUGAUUUUUUUUUAAAAAAAAAAAGGUUUUGGACUUGAGCAAUCCCAACACCAAUCUUUUUUAGAUCGGUGGCGGGUUGCUUGAAAUGCAGGUGCAGCUGGACAUUCUCCUGAGCUAAAAGCAUAUUUAUUUAGUCCCGUCAAACGGAUUAUUACUUUUGCUGCAGCUAAUAUAAAGGGAGUUUGACCGUAUUGGCUGACUGAUGCAGGAUUUCACAAGGGUCGGCAACGAUUCUUGUAAAACUCGAUCUCAAAUCAAGUAAGACUACCCGCUGAACUUAAGCAUAUCAAUAAGCGGAGGA
This 439-nucleotide unclassified non-coding RNA is filed under the name soil metagenome. Its description in RNAcentral is "partial contains 5.8S ribosomal RNA, internal transcribed spacer 2, and large subunit ribosomal RNA". The stretch from base 1 to 120 matches the Rfam family "5.8S ribosomal RNA", at positions 35 to 154 of the family's 154-position model. The record is from RNAcentral.